UCGUCAGCUCGUGUCGUGAGAUGUUGGGUUAAGUCCCGCAACGAGCGCAACCCUUGUCUUUAGUUGCCAUCAUUAAGUUGGGCACUCUAGAGAGACUGCCAGGGAUAACCUGGAGGAAGGUGGGGAUGACGUCAAAUCAUCAUGCCCCUUAUGCUUAGGGCUACACACGUGCUACAAUGGGUAGUACAGAGGGUUGCCAAGCCGUAAGGUGGAGCUAAUCCCUUAAAGCUACUCUCAGUUCGGAUUGUAGGCUGAAACUCGCCUACAUGAAGCUGGAGUUACUAGUAAUCGCAGAUCAGAAUGCUGCGGUGAAUGCGUUCCCGGGUCUUGUACACACCGCCCGUCACACCACGGGAGUUGGAGACGCCCGAAGCCGAUUAUCUAACCUUUUGGAAGAAGUCGUCGAAGGUGGAAUCAAUAACUGGGGUGAAGUCGUAACAAGGUAGCCGUAUCGGAAGGUGCGGCUGGAUC
Molecule: ribosomal RNA, 471 nt
Filed under: Clostridioides difficile
Lineage: Bacteria; Bacillati; Bacillota; Clostridia; Peptostreptococcales; Peptostreptococcaceae
Description: bacterial SSU rRNA
Rfam family: Bacterial small subunit ribosomal RNA
Source: RNAcentral